UGGGGAAUAUUGGGCAAUGGAGGCAACUCUGACCCAGCAACGCCGCGUGAGUGAUGAAGGUCUUCGGAUUGUAAAACUCUUUAAGUGGGGACGAAGAAAGUGACUGUACCCACAGAAUAAGCCUCGGCUAACUACGUGCCAGCAGCCGCGGUAAUACGUAGGAGGCAAGCGUUAUCCGGAAUGACUGGGCGUAAAGGGUGCGUAGGUGGUUUGACAAGUUAGUAGCGUAAUUCCGGGGCUCAACUUCGGAACUACUACUAAAACUGUUGGGCUUGAGUGCAGGAGGGGUGAAUGGAAUUCCUAGUGUAGCGGUGGAAUGCGUAGAUAUUAGGAGGAACACCAGCGGCGAAAGCGAUUCACUGGACUGUAACUGACACUGAGGCACGAAAGCGUGGGGAGCAAACAGG
This 407-nucleotide ribosomal RNA is filed under the name uncultured bacterium. RNAcentral's name for it is "bacterial SSU rRNA". It matches the Rfam family "Bacterial small subunit ribosomal RNA", at positions 355 to 776 of the family's 1533-position model. The record is from RNAcentral.